This 472-nucleotide unclassified non-coding RNA is filed under the name Hevea brasiliensis (rubber tree). Lineage: Eukaryota; Viridiplantae; Streptophyta; Magnoliopsida; Malpighiales; Euphorbiaceae. The record is from RNAcentral.
AUGGGCUUUUGCUGCACAGUCUGCAAAGAGGAAGUAAUUAAGAAAAAUCAUGAUUGAUUCAUGAUAACACAAAUUAUGAUAUUAGUAAUUUUUGAGAACAACAUGCAUAGAAGCUUGGAUUUUAGUUUAUCAUAUGAGUCACUAAAUGGAGUCUAUAAUGAGUGCCUAUGAUAUGUCGCUCAAUGGAAUCAUCUCUGAUUUAUUUACUCUUCAUUCAGCAUUUUGCUCCCAGGUUGCAUUUAAUGGUCUAUAGCUUUCAAGUUUUAGAAGUUCUAAAAAUUUGCAAAAUGUUUUGUUAAAUGUUUUUGAAAGUGGGAAUGAAAUGCAUAGCUUCAUGUAUAUGAUCUAUUUCUCUGGAAUAACUCCACAUUUCAUAUGAAACAAAUCUUUUUAAGAUCUGUCCAAGAAGGUGGACUCUUGCAAUUAUUCUCAACCUGAAAUCAAUAUCUUAGAGAGUGUUUCGUAACACUAG